RNAcentral lists this long non-coding RNA (1228 nucleotides) under Oryza sativa Japonica Group (Japanese rice). RNAcentral's name for it is "partial lncRNA130471". The record is from RNAcentral. Lineage: Eukaryota; Viridiplantae; Streptophyta; Magnoliopsida; Poales; Poaceae.
AUAGUGUCUCCAUCUUAUCAGUCUCCGUUCGGUGAGAUAUUGGGGCAAACCAUGCAAUGGUCACAAGGUGAAUCCACGAGAGCUUUGUUUCCCGAUAUUUCAGUAAGAGGUUGGGAUAACUCGAUUAGAUGAAGAUUAUGUUGAUGGCCCAACUACAACUGUCCAAGGACGCUACGCCUUACCAACCAAUACACUAUAUCCAACAGUUGUUGUGAACUUAUGGUGUACGACAACUCGGCCAUGAGGACACUCGUCUUGCAAGCAAUCGAAAAACAAGUAGAACAAACACUGAAUUGUUAGAUGAAUAUGGAAGUUUCACUAGAAAAAUAACAAUAUUGUAGGGUUCAAACAGAUGGGCUGUUUAGCCAACACGCACACGGUAAACAAGUAGCAAUUUGCUAACUCUAAGCAUCAAAACCAAUUGUUAUUGACGGUGGCAAGGUAUACGAAAAUGAGGAGAACAACCAUACGGGGUGUUGGAUUUGUCCUCUAACCUGCAAUGUGUCCCUAAUGGAAUCAACUUUACAGCCCCUGCGAUGCGUCCGUAAUAGAACCAACUUGAUGCACAACCCAUUAGGCCCAAAUAAGAUGAUGCAUUACAUUUCACAAAAAAGACGUCGAUAGUAAAAUAUAAUGUUUGUGGCCGCUCCAGAGCAGAUGGACAUGAGGCCGAAUCCAUUUGAAAAUGGCUUGAUAAGCUUUUCAUGCAAUACUUGCACCCAAAUCAAAGUUUGCAUGAAGUCGUGGCAGUCAUCACAAGUUGGCACUGUCCUACCAUUCGAAUAUAGACCGCGCGAAUUCUCUCCCCUUUUAAUCCUCUCAAUCAUUCUAAGUAAAACAAGAGUGCACGCGUCUUCGGUAUAAAAAAUAUGAACAUGAACUCAAGAAUAAACUCACCUGAUAGUUGAAUUGACGUGCACGAGCACGUGUAAUAGGACCAUGAGAUUGUACUUGUGGAGACUUAUGUUAGACGUGUACAUGGAGGAGACGGAUAACAAGUCAAAGUGGUGGAUGUUAUAGCUUUUGGAAUUAAGUGGCCUUUGUGGCCGUAGUGGAGAACCUACUUUAGUUUUCAGAUAUAAACUGAUGUUUUUUCAUUAAUUUUUAUUUUCAUGUGUAAAUUGAGUUUUUUUAAAAAAAUGAUUUAUAAACAGCGCACGAGGCAUGGAUUUUCAUGCUUACAUAAUCAGCGAAUAAAAAACCUCUAUAUUUGAGGAAAACACCUCCC